UGAGGACAAGGAUAGUGUAGAGGAGGCAGCUGAGUUGGGUAUUUAAUUUCUCAUUCAAGUAAAAGGAAUGACCAGGCGGACAGAAGAUAACUUCCACCAGGAUCUGGAUAGAAUGAUAAACUGAGAGAUUGAUGCUAGUAGUGUCAUAGGAUCAUGGGAUUUAAGCUGGAGCAACUCUUCUCAUUGUCAAGGUUCUAAAAAUAAAAGAUUUUUCUUUUUAAGAAGAAGCAGUCUGGGAGCAGCUAGUGGCUCAGUGGAUUGAGAGCCAGGUGUCCUGGGUUCAAAUGUGACUUCAGACACUUCCUCACUGUGUGACUUUCGGUGAAGAAACUGGAGCACACAUGAUUAAGCAACUUGACUGGGGUCAUACAACUAAUGAGGAAACUGAGGAUCAGGGAAGUGAAAUCACUUACCCAAAGGCAAACAGAAGAGCUGGGAUUCCAACCUGGAUUUUAUUACUCAAGAUUCAGUGCUCUUUCUACUGCAUCAUGGUUUCAUCUUUUUUUUCAAAACAUAUAUUUACCUAGAGAGACCUGGAACUGGACCUCAAGACUUUAGUUGCCUUCUGCUUUCUCCUUCCUUCCUUUCCUGAGCACAGAUCAAUGACCAGGGAUGUUGGGAAAUAGACAUUUCCAGCCUUGUAAGUAGUCUCAUAGGUCCAGAGUUUCUGCAGUUUUAUAUUCAAGUAUGAGCUGACUGGAGCAUCUCAGAGAAGAUAACCACUGCCAGGAGAAUUCUACAGUUGAAGGACUAUUAAGAAACAUAUCCUUGAUGGUCAGAAGAUCUACAUCUUGUGACUUGCUUGUGUAGUGGAGAUAUGAGCUGAAUCUGAAUGUAAAAUAUCUGUCUAUCCAGUGCAUGAGAUUAUCUUUAACUUCCUUGGGAAUUGUUGUUUUGUCUUUUCAGUUGGGACUGACUCUUUGUGACCCCAUUUGGGGCUUUCUUGGCA
This 949-nucleotide long non-coding RNA is filed under the name Monodelphis domestica (gray short-tailed opossum). RNAcentral's name for it is "lncRNA (ENSMODG00000050199.1)". Lineage: Eukaryota; Metazoa; Chordata; Mammalia; Didelphimorphia; Didelphidae. The record is from RNAcentral.